UCAUGAGUACCAUUCACAGAGAGUUGGGGAAUGGCUGCAAUCACAGCAUUGUAAGAUGUGCCAUGGGCUCCCCAGUUUCACCCAUCGUGGCCAAUUUGUACAUGGAAGAAGUGGAAAAGAGGGCGUUGCUAUCCUACCCUGGAACACCACCAAGCCAUUGGUUCAGGUAUGUGGAUGACACCUGGGUGAAAAUCAAAUCUCAGGACGUACUACAUUUCACGGAUCACAUUAACUCGGUGGACCAACACAUCAAAUUCACCAGGGAGGAUAUUAAAAGUGGCAGGUUAGCCUUCUUAGACUGUGAGAUUUCCAUCAGUAAUGGGGGACAUCUAAAAGCUGACGUGUACCGUAAACCUACACAUACGGAUCAGUAUCUAAGGUUUGACUCUCAUCAUCCACUGGAGCACAAACUGGGUGUCAUCAGGACGCUACAACACAGAGCGAACACCAUCCCCACUGACACAGCGGCCAGGGAAGCAGAAGAACAGCACAUCAAGAAGGCCCUGAGUAAAUGUGGUUAUCCCAGCUGGACUUUUGUCAAAGCUGGGAAGGCACCUAAAGAAAGCUCCAGCCGAUCCAGGAGAGAAGGACAACCGCUGCCCAGGCGAAAACCUGUAGUGAUCCCAUAUGUGUCAGGAGUAUCGGAGCAGUUGAGAUGCAUUUUUUCUAAACACUGGGUCUCUGUGGCUUUUAAACCCCAAAAUACGCUGCGCCAAAAACUGGUCCACCCCAAGGAUCGGGUCCCCCGACACAAACAGAGUAACACAGUGUACGCUGUUCAGUGCAGGAGGAUUGGCAGGAUUUAUACAUCGGGGAAACCAAACAACCUCUGGCUACAACACAGAAGAGCCACCUCGUCAGGCCAGGACUCCUGUAGUUCAUGGACGUUGGUGUUGAUGUCAUCGAUCUGUAGGCCAAGCAGUGUGUUUGUUCUGGUUCAAUCAUUUAUUUGUCUGUCAGUGGUCACGCUGCACUUCAGUCUGUUUUAUCUCCUCGUCUGUCACUUUUGGGAAGUCGGAUUUUACCCCUUACCGGAAUUAUUUGCUUCUCUGGCUGAUGUCCAGUUGGAUUGAAUUUUUGCAUUUUGAACUUUAACCUUGGUCUUCUGUGUUCUGUGACUGGGCCGUCUUCCCUCUGUCUCUCAUUACAAGGAGCCGGGGAUCGAACCACCAAAAACCACCAACCACCUUUAAAUAAGAUCCAAUGAGACACAGAUCGUGCAAAGCGAGGACCCAAAUGCAGACGAUUAUAGGCAGGAAGGAGUUAACUGAAGCUGAGCUAUUGAUUUAUUAAGGCUGAUUGGGAGAAAAUACAGAACUAAAAAGCAAAACAAAACUAAAACAGAAAACCUAAGCUGACAAACGCAGGGAACGGAGAACACGGACCGUGAAGAACCACAAGGGUAGAUCAACAGUCUGACGAAGAGCAGAGGAAACACUGACGGGUGAAUAAACAUGGAGACAACACAGAAAGGAAACUCAACAACCUCAAAUAAUCACCAAACAACAUAAGCACAAGAAAACAAAACCAGGAAAUGAGAUGGAGAAGUCCAUAAACACAAAUCCCUGGGUCAAAGAUCCAGAACCGUGACACAGACUGAGAGCACACCUGUGUUCAGGUAAACCUCUGCAGUUGUUGUAUUCUAGUUUCAUUUGUAACAGACUCCAGACCACCCAACAGGGUAUUCAUAACAGGGGCUCAGACUGACUCUGCUGCGUUACAUAGCAACAUACAGUGUGUCAUCACAGCACGCUCAUUCCUGUGUGUCACGCUCUAAAACAUCCGUGUAGCAACACAGCCUACUGCCAACAAACUGCAUCUGCUUCACUGAGAGCUAAAGCCAGACACAGAACAGUUUCCACAGAGAACAUUCGUCUGUCUUCAAACGAAGGAUGAAGCUCCAGGGGCAAAUUCUUCCCAGGAGUCUUUGCGUGUUGACGUCACAGAGCUCCUCCUCCUUCUUCAGAGCUAGCGGACGCAGCACGAUGGAAGAAAAUCAGGCACAGGUCAUGAUACUGCUCCUGCAAGAGCUGAACAGACUGACUGAGGAGCAGUUUACCAGUUUCAAGUGGCAACUGGGAUGCAGGAUGCGGGAUAUACCUGCAUACAAGCUGGAGAGGGCAGACCGACAUGAAACUGUGGAUCUGAUGGUGCAGCAUCACCCCCAUCAGGCCGUGGUCUUCACCACUGACAUUUUUAGGGCCAUCGCCAGGAACGAUCUGGCUGAGCAUCUGACUCAGCAACUGGCUGAUAUCAACAUGGGAGAUCUGAGAUGACGGGUCUUCGCCUGAAGCUCCGGAAGCAUCAUAACACUCUCAGCUCCCACAGCGCCACGUUCACCAGCACGAAAUACAAAUCCAUGUUUGUUUAUUGAUAAAUAAUCAACUUGUUUGACAUUAUCUCUGCCUCUGUGACCCAAACUCUGUGUUACAGCUCCACCGUCAGGGCAACACUGGACUGUCCACCCUUAUGUAACCGGGUUAUAAUUAGAGAUGGCACGAUACCACUUUUUUAUGUCCGAUACCGAUAUCAUAAAUUUGGAUAUCUGCCGAUACCGAUAUGAAUCUGAUAUAGUGUUUUUUAAUCAAUAAAACUGUUUUUUUAAUAUCUUGCUGCAUUUUGUAUAAGUUCAUACUCAAGUUUAAAUAAACAACAACACUAAAGCUAUUCUGUUAUACUUGUAUGUAAAAAAUACACUGCACCCAAAAUAUUUCAUAGUUCAGCAACACUGAUCAAUCUAAUAAACUUAAACCUGCUCCAUCCUCCCUAUUCUGGUAUUUUAAAGAGUACUUAGCAGAAGUAACCUAACCCUAUCCCUCGGGAUGAAUAAAGUAUGAUCAAUUAAUCAAUCAAUCAAAUAUUAAGCAACCUAACUAAUAGGGUUGCAAACUCCCAGCAAAAAAAAAAAAUAGGGAACCAAUCCCCACCCUCCACCUCAUGAUGCUUAAUCGAUGUAAUCAACUUUAAUUUGAUGUAGUGCAUAGAAAAUGCACAGAAAUAAAUUAUUUUUCAAGAAUAAUUAAAUAGAUUCAACAUCUUUCUUCAACAGAGUUGCAGACUGCACAGAUGGUACCUUCCCAAAGGAAAAAGUACUAUAGCUUACUAGGGUAUAUUAGACUUAACAGUUACUAUAUACAGUAAUGGACUUCUAUACAUUUUACAUCAGAUUAAAACUUUGGGUGUAAGAUUCAGAUAAUUAUUUAUUAAAAGCUCGACAUUUUAAAUGAGAAUAAGAAAGAAAAGUAUGUCUUUGUGCCCC
Oreochromis aureus is the source of this 3259-nucleotide long non-coding RNA. NCBI's taxonomy places the organism in Eukaryota, Metazoa, Chordata, Actinopteri, Cichliformes, Cichlidae. The record is from Ensembl.